CUGUGCAAACAUUGUGUUGAGAAUGUUCCGCCAAUCUGCUGCAGUUUUGAAUAUGCUGAGAAUGUUCUGAGGAUAUUCUAAGCACUUUGUUUGAAAACGUUGAGAACAUAUUUGGAAUAUGCUGCACACGGUUUCUGCUAAGAAUAUCCUAGGGUUAUUCCUGAUAGGGGCGGUUUUCUUCAAAUCGAGUACGGUAUUAUCACGGGCAACAGAUUUUUAAAAAAAUGAAAAUUGUGCGCGCUUUGUAGUGCUGCGCGAGUGUGGUGUCUGGCUGUCUGCCCAGUCUGCCGUACCGGCCCACCAAGCAACGAGAGCAACGCGAGGUGCAUUCUUUCAUGUUCUGUAGUUCUGUUCGGAUAGACUAUUUUGGAGUCUUCUCGCUCUUGUCCUUUUGGUCUGGAAGAAAAGUGAAUAAAAAAAGUCUUUCGUUUUCAACCUAGUUCACAGUUGUACUUUUUUUAUUUUUUCUCCCUUUUCGGGGAACACGUCAGCGAGUGCGCGUGUUUGGCCAAGUUUUGCAGAAAGUUGACUUAUCAGGCCACGGGUGCUAUUUUUGUUCUGGAAUUUCAACGUACUAGUGCUCCUCGUGACUCGUUGCCGCCGCUCGUACGAAUGAUUGCUACAGGUUGAUGUUAGUGUAGACUGGGUCUGUCGAUGAUGAAACGCAAUCUAUUGCCAUAUCAUGAAAGCCCCGUACGAACAAGGUACAGGAUC
This 714-nucleotide long non-coding RNA is filed under the name Bemisia tabaci. RNAcentral's name for it is "lncRNA ENSSSA3NGG010899". Lineage: Eukaryota; Metazoa; Arthropoda; Insecta; Hemiptera; Aleyrodidae. The record is from RNAcentral.